GAACGCACCUUGCGCUCCUGGGUAUUCCCAGGAGCAUGCCUGUUUGAGUGUCAUGAAUCCCUCAAAUCCCAAUGUUUUGCAAAACUCAUUGCUUGGAUUUGGUCAUGGGCCGACUUUGCUACUUUAUUGUUAGCUGGCCUUAAAGACAUUAGCUUGGACUUUCGAACCUUUUCGGAAGGGUCUCCAUAUGAUGUGAUAAAUUUACGUCGAUGGGCUAAUGACUCUACUGUUGUUAAUGGUUUUGAAAACGAAUAGUCUAGCUUUCUAACCCGGCGAAGAGUUCCAUCUCUGACCCACUUUUCAUUUAACUCUGGCCUCAAAUCAGGUAGGACUACCCGCUGAACUUAAG
Molecule: unclassified non-coding RNA, 349 nt
Filed under: uncultured Microstromatales
Lineage: Eukaryota; Fungi; Basidiomycota; Exobasidiomycetes
Description: sequence contains 5.8S rRNA gene
Rfam family: 5.8S ribosomal RNA (bases 1-53)
Source: RNAcentral